RNAcentral lists this ribosomal RNA (467 nucleotides) under uncultured bacterium. Its description in RNAcentral is "partial 16S ribosomal RNA". It matches the Rfam family "Bacterial small subunit ribosomal RNA", at positions 28 to 507 of the family's 1533-position model. The record is from RNAcentral.
GAUGAACGCUGGCGGCGUGCUUAACACAUGCAAGUCGAACGGAAAGGCUCCUGCUUGCAGGGGUACUCGAGUGGCGAACGGGUGAGUAACACGUGGGUGAUCUGCCCUGCACUUCGGGAUAAGCCUGGGAAACUGGGUCUAAUACCGGAUAGGACCACAUUUUGGAUGGUGUGGUGGAAAGUUUUUCGGUGUGGGAUGAGCUCGCGGCCUAUCAGCUUGUUGGUGGGGUAAUGGCCUACCAAGGCGUCGACGGGUAGCCGGCCUGAGAGGGUGUACGGCCACAUUGGGACGGAGAUACGGCCCAGACUCCUACGGGAGGCAGCAGUGGGGAAUAUUGCACAAUGGGCGCAAGCCUGAUGCAGCGACGCCGCGUGGGGGAUGACGGCCUUCGGGUUGUAAACUCCUGUCGCUAGGGACGAAGCGUUUUUGUGACGGUACCUGGAGAAGAAGCACCGGCUAACUACGUG